This 67-nucleotide transfer RNA is filed under the name Synalpheus microneptunus. RNAcentral describes it as "tRNA-Gly". The record is from RNAcentral. Lineage: Eukaryota; Metazoa; Arthropoda; Malacostraca; Decapoda; Alpheidae.
GCUCCCCUAAUAUAUAUAAAGUAUAUUUGGCUUCCAACCAAAAAGUCUGAACUCGUCAGGUGAAGCA